RNAcentral lists this ribosomal RNA (288 nucleotides) under uncultured bacterium. RNAcentral describes it as "partial 16S ribosomal RNA". It matches the Rfam family "Bacterial small subunit ribosomal RNA", at positions 773 to 1060 of the family's 1533-position model. The record is from RNAcentral.
GUGGAUUAGAUACCCUGGUAGUCCACGCCGUAAACGAUGGGUACUAGGUGUAGGGGUUUCGAUACCUCUGUGCCGCCGUUAACACAAUAAGUACCCCGCCUGGGGAGUACGGUCGCAAGAUUAAAACUCAAAGGGAUUGACGGGGGGCCCGCACAAGCAGCGGAGCAUGUGGUUUAAUUCGAAGCAACGCGAAGAACCUUACCUAGACUUGACAUCUCCUGCAUUACCCUUAAUCGGGGAAGUCCCUUCGGGGACAGGAAGACAGGUGGUGCACGGUCGUCGUCAGCU